Molecule: long non-coding RNA, 1302 nt
Organism: Sapajus apella (tufted capuchin)
Lineage: Eukaryota; Metazoa; Chordata; Mammalia; Primates; Cebidae
Exons: 3
Source: RefSeq, a predicted model, not a curated record
UGCAUGCACACACACAGUGUUUUAAUUUUGCUACAAUACUCUUAACAUAAAAAAUUUCCAUUUGUGACAUUCAGUACAUUUGCAAUGUUGUGCAACCAUCACCAUGAUCCAGUUCCAGAAGAUUUCAUCACCCUAGAAGCAAACCUGUACCCAUUAAGCAGCGACUUUCUUAUCCUUGCCACUCCAACCUCCAUCUCCUGGCAACCACUAACCUGUCUUCUGUCUCUUCUGGAUAUUUCAUGUAAAUGGAAUCAUACAAUGUGGUCUUCUGUGUCUGGCUUCAUUCACUUAGCCUUAGCAACCUUCUGGGUACAAAUCACCUCUAGUGAAUUACUUUGAGACCCAUCUUUCAUUUCCAUCCUCUCUCUGCCCUCCUCAGGCCCUCAUUGCUUUAUUUGUGUUCUGUUUUGUGUGAAAGUGCCAGUCCUGCAGCCACCCACUAUAGGACUCCUCAGGGGCCCCACUGACAGGCCUUCUGCCACCACAUUCAGUCCUGAUUCUGGGGCUGCCCAUGGAAGUGAAAGACCAGCAAAUUGCCCUCAAACUUCUCCAAGAUUUUCAUAUUUUAAAAUAAAAUGUGAAAGGCACUUUUUCCCUUCCUGACAAAUCAACUUAAGGAAGAGCAGACUAUGGUGUGGCUGAGAGAGCACUGGACUCCAUGUGAGAAGAUAUUGCUGCUAUUUACUAUUGACGCAACCAUGGACAUGACCCUCUCCAGGGCCAGGACCACUUAACCUGCAUCUCAGCCUCCCCUAGGGGCAGCCAAGACCUGGCAAUAAAAGUCACUUCAUGAAUUGUCUGGGAAGAAUUCCUAGAAGACUACAAUGGGAAGAAAGAAUAUAGUUUAACAUUUUUGAGAGAUAAAGAUCAUGAUUUUAUUUUCAACCACUUUAGUCAGGCAUUGUCAGAUGUUAGUCUGAUGCUGAAGCUGGAAAAAUGCGGGGAAUGUUCUGGUGUAGCCCUCUUUAUUUGGCCAUAGAAGACACUAAAUCCCAGAGAGGAAAUGGGCAUGGAUGUUCAUAGAUACCCACUGUAUCACACAAAGUCCCAGCAGAAAUAGGAAGCAUACUUAAGAUAAUUCCAGAGGAUAUGUUUGUUUUUACAAAAGCACUAUUACCAAAGUAGGGCUGAAGUAUAGGCGAACCAGCAGAGAUAAUAUGACAACCUGAAGUGGAGCUGUUAACCAUCCUAGGGAUAGGAUGACCAACUUAUCCCCAUUUGCCUGGGACUUCCAAUUUAUUUAUUUAAACUUUUUAGAGACAGGGUCUUUCUCUAAGACUGAGGCUGGAGUGCAGCAGCACA